Molecule: ribosomal RNA, 497 nt
Filed under: uncultured bacterium
Lineage: Bacteria
Description: partial 16S ribosomal RNA
Rfam family: Bacterial small subunit ribosomal RNA
Source: RNAcentral
GAUGAACGCUGGCGGCGUGCCUAAUACAUGCAAGUCGAGCGAACAGACGAGGAGCUUGCUCCUCUGACGUUAGCGGCGGACGGGUGAGUAACACGUGGAUAACCUACCUAUAAGACUGGGAUAACUUCGGGAAACCGGAGCUAAUACCGGAUAAUAUAUUGAACCGCAUGGUUCAAUAGUGAAAGACGGUUUUGCUGUCACUUAUAGAUGGAUCCGCGCCGCAUUAGCUAGUUGGUAAGGUAACGGCUUACCAAGGCAACGAUGCGUAGCCGACCUGAGAGGGUGAUCGGCCACACUGGAACUUGGACACGGUCCAGACUCCUACGGGAGGCAGCAGUAGGGAAUCUUCCGCAAUGGGCGAAAGCUUGACGGAGCAACGCCGCGUGAGUGAUGAAGGUCUUCGGAUCGUAAAACUCUGUUAUUAGGGAAGAACAAAUGUGUAAGUAACUAUGCACGUCUUGACGGUACCUAAUCAGAAAGCCACGGCUAACUACGUG